CUGUAACCUCAACAAGAUACACGUUAAACAAGCUGGGAUUGAAAAUAAUAGAGGAUUGGUCACCUUGGUACAACCAUAAGCAGGUUGGUGGAUGGACUACUACCUACGAAGGAUUGACCUUUAUUACAGUUAGGGGUGCGGGACACCAAGUGCCAACAACCGCGCCUGAACAGUCUUUACAACUCUUCAAACACUUUCUAGACAAUGAAAAGCUACCUUCCAUGCCUUUCUAAACAAUAGAAUUGAAAAAAAUUUGCUUCAUGUUACAGUGUAUUGGUUGUAAAAAUGGAACAAUUCUUUUUCACCUUGGAUUCAAGGAAAGAUGUAUGCCAUUUUUGGGAAUUAGGUUGAUUGCAUUAUAUUA
Elaeis guineensis (African oil palm) is the source of this 364-nucleotide non-coding RNA. The record is from RefSeq and is a predicted model, not a curated record. NCBI's taxonomy places the organism in Eukaryota, Viridiplantae, Streptophyta, Magnoliopsida, Arecales, Arecaceae.